RNAcentral lists this long non-coding RNA (547 nucleotides) under Hordeum vulgare. Its description in RNAcentral is "long non-coding RNA (HVUL_LNC002519)". Lineage: Eukaryota; Viridiplantae; Streptophyta; Magnoliopsida; Poales; Poaceae. The record is from RNAcentral.
ACAAAGUGCACAUAUCUAUUAUGUUCAUUUGCAACAUAUAUUCUGCUUACAAUGGCGUAGACCGAGAGUGAAACCACCAUUGUCUUGUAUCUUCCCCAAUAUGUGUCUGCCAAGAAAGCUCCGACAAGCGACAUCAAGAAGUUGGUGCCAAUCCAAGUAGACACAUCCCUUGCCGCGUCGAUGUUACUUUCGUGGAGCACGCUGGUAAGGUAGGUAACCAAGUUCUUGGAGAUUCCAAAGAAGGCCACGGAUUCGAUGAAUUCGAUACCUAGCACAGAUCGAGCAAGGAGAGUUAGCAUUGAGCGAUUUCUAGUCUGUGACAACUUUUUUCUUUUCUUUUAUGGUACCUAAAAUGAAGAAGCAGGCUCUCCAGUUCCCUGUUGUUGCCNCGCUGGUAAGGUAGGUAACCAAGUUCUUGGAGAUUCCAAAGAAGGCCACGGAUUCGAUGAAUUCGAUACCUAGCACAGAUCGAGCAAGGAGAGUUAGCAUUGAGCGAUUUCUAGUCUGUGACAACUUUUUUCUUUUCUUUUAUGGUACCUAAAAUGAA